This 66-nucleotide transfer RNA is filed under the name bovine gut metagenome. It matches the Rfam family "tRNA", at positions 5 to 66 of the family's 71-position model. Rfam says of the family: Transfer RNA (tRNA) molecules are approximately 80 nucleotides in length. The record is from RNAcentral.
CCGUAGCUCAGUGGAUAGAGUAGCGCCCUCCGAAGGCGAAGACCGCGGGUUCGAAUCCCGCCGGGC